GCGGGUUUAGCUGAGCGGCAGAGUGUAGAUUUAGCAUGCACAAGGCUCUGGGUUCAAUCCCCAGUACCUGCA
Molecule: transfer RNA, 72 nt
Filed under: Camelus ferus (Wild Bactrian camel)
Lineage: Eukaryota; Metazoa; Chordata; Mammalia; Artiodactyla; Camelidae
Rfam family: tRNA
About the family: Transfer RNA (tRNA) molecules are approximately 80 nucleotides in length. Their secondary structure includes four short double-helical elements and three loops (D, anti-codon, and T loops).
Source: Rfam by way of RNAcentral